GAUAGCUCAGUCAGUAGAGCAGGAGGCUUUUAAUAUUGGGGUCGUGGGUUUGAGCCCCACGUCAGGCA
Non-coding RNA from Podarcis lilfordi (Lilford's wall lizard), 68 nucleotides. NCBI's taxonomy places the organism in Eukaryota, Metazoa, Chordata, Lepidosauria, Squamata, Lacertidae. The record is from the annotation of a GenBank genome assembly.